Paramuricea clavata is the source of this 292-nucleotide non-coding RNA. The record is from the annotation of a GenBank genome assembly. NCBI's taxonomy places the organism in Eukaryota, Metazoa, Cnidaria, Anthozoa, Malacalcyonacea, Plexauridae.
CGCACGUAAUCAGAAACAGUACGCCUUUUUGCCGCCGGCUUUAGGGAUUUUUGGGAAAACAUAGGAAUUUUAGAGAUCCUUGUUAAGGAAUUCUCAAAUUUGGUUGUGCGUCGAUCUUUGUGCGCGGAUUUCUCUUCAGCGCACAGUGAAGGACAGCGCAGUUCAGAAGAAAUUGCGCAAAGUAGAUUCGCAAAUAUUCGACGGGAAUAUGGAAUCGAUGGCGUAUUUCGUUCUACUGGUGUGUCUCGUGGCUGGAGGCUUCGCUGAAGAUCCUGAAAUCAACAUGAAUGUG